AUGGACGCCGGUGCUCUAGCUGGGUGUUUGAGAGACAAGAGCGUCCUCAUCACAGGCUCAACUGGAUUCCUCGGAAAAUUAUUCGUCGAGAAGAUAUUGAGGGUUCAGCCCGCUGUCAAGAAGAUCUACCUGCUGGUGCGCGCCUCCCAUGGUGCGUCUGCCGAGCAGCGUGUCAUGUCCGAGGUCACUGGAGAGGCAGUCUUCGAUAUCCAGCGUGAAAAAUACGGUCCUGUUGGCUUCCAAAACUUCAUCAAAGAAAAGGUAGUUCCUAUAGACGGAGAUAUCAUGCAUGACAACCUCGGUCUUGAUAGUGCUCAAGUGUCAGUCUUGACGAAAGAAGUUGAUGCUAUCAUCAAUGGAGCUGCCACAACUAACUUCUAUGAAAGGUACGAUGUGGCUUUGAAUUCAAAUGCCUUAGGAGCCAAAAAUGUAUGCGAGUUUGGAAAGAAGUGUUGUAAUAUGAAACUCUUACUUCAUGUUUCAACAGCUUUUGUAGCUGGUACCCAAGAAGGGUUGCUGCUUGAGAGAGCUUUCCAUAAUGGUGAAACACUAAGAGAAGGUUACUACUUGGACAUUGAAGAAGAAUUACAAUUGGUUAGGAAUGUGAAGACAGAACUCAUGGAAGCCUUGAGUGAUAGUUCAGAAAAAUUAGAGAAAUCUAAAAUGAAGGAACUUGGCUUAAAGAGGGCUUGUCAUUUUGGAUGGCCAAACGUAUAUACACUCACGAAGGCAAUGGGGGAAAUAUUACUUGGUCAAUACAAAGGGGAGCUUCCGAUUGUCAUUAUUAGACCCACCAUGGUCACAAGCACUUAUCAAGAUCCAUUUCCUGGAUGGAUUGAAGGAACGAGGACAAUUGACGCUCUAAUUGUCGCCUACGAUGAGCAAGCACUGCCAUGUUUUCUAGGUGAUCGUAAUGACAUAAUUGAUUUGAUUCCUGCCGACAUGGUUAUAAAUGCUGCAUUGGUAGCAAUGGCAGUUCACUGGAAUGAAAAAUUGCAGGUCAUUUACCAUGUGAGCUCAUCGUGCCAGAACCCACUUUCAGUUAAUGAUUUUGUGGACUCAUGCUUCGAUUACUUCUCCAUUAGUCCUCGUAUAUUAAAUGGGAGGGUCCUCCAAACAAGAAGACCAUACUUGUUCAAGAGAUAUGCUUUCUUCCGUGUUUGUCUUAUGAUCAUAUUUUCGCUACCACUAAUGAUUUUGGAAGGAUUCAAUUUGUUAUUAUGUGGGUGUUUUUCCCGAUAUUGCAAUGACCUCAACCGGAGAUACAAUUUCUUAACACUCCUUGUGAAGUUGUAUGCACCAUAUGCAUUCUUUAAAGGACGCUUCGACGACAGCAACUUAACAUGGCUAAGGAUGGAAACAAAGAUAUGCAAUGUCGAUGGUGGAAACCUUAAUUUUGAUCCCAAGCAGAUUAGUUGGCACUCAUAUCUCAUUAGUGUCCAUGUCCCUGCCGUCCUGAAGUACGCUCACAUGAAGAAGGGAACCACAUUGCGCCGAACAUCCUACUCCUACUCACAAUAA
RNAcentral lists this ribosomal RNA (1521 nucleotides) under Triticum aestivum (bread wheat). Its description in RNAcentral is "partial small subunit ribosomal RNA". The record is from RNAcentral. Lineage: Eukaryota; Viridiplantae; Streptophyta; Magnoliopsida; Poales; Poaceae.